CGGCGGACGGGUGAGUAACGCGUGGGUAACCUGCCUCAUACAGGGGGAUAACAGUUAGAAAUGACUGCUAAUACCGCAUAAGACCACAGCACCGCAUGGUGCGGGGGUAAAAACUCCGGUGGUAUGAGAUGGACCCGCGUCUGAUUAGCUAGUUGGUAAGGUAACGGCUUACCAAGGCGACGAUCAGUAGCCGGACUGGGAGGUUGAACGGCCACAUUGGGACUGAGACACGGCCCAG
Molecule: ribosomal RNA, 238 nt
Filed under: uncultured bacterium
Lineage: Bacteria
Description: partial 16S ribosomal RNA
Rfam family: Bacterial small subunit ribosomal RNA
Source: RNAcentral